GGUAACUCUCAAAGUAAACCUAAGGGUAAAAUAAAUUUUUGUGACGAUGUUGAGGACAUCGGAAACAGAGUCGAUGAUCUCGACUUGGGCCUAUUUACUAUUGCCUAUGCCAAUGAUGGGCCUAAACCCAAAAGUUUUACCGCUGAGGUAGAAAUUAAUAAUGUUCCAGUGAAAAUGACUAUUGACACAGGGGCUGUCGUGUCAGUCAUGCCCCAGGAUGUAUUUUCUACAAUUUUUGGUAACUCAAGUCCGAAAUUAAAUAAAAGCAGUAUCACAUUGAAAACUUAUACAGGCCAUAAUAUUAAUAUUAUCGGUGAGUUUCAGGCAAGCGUACGCUCUGGCAGCAGCGUUCACAAAUUACCUAUGAUUGUUGUACGAAAUAAUGUGCCUAACCAACCUACACUAAUGGGUCGGAAUUGGCUCGAAGUAAUUAAACUUGACUGGACCAAAGUGGGACAAGGAAACAAGUUGGACUGCGGAGCGAUCCUCGACAACGGUAAGACUGUUUCAAUCACUACUAGGAUUAAUGAGCUGAAAUCAAAAUAUUCUUCUGUUUUUGAAGAUAAAAUUGGAACUAUCAAAGAUGUAACAGUCGAUUUGGUAUUGAAGGAAAAUUCUAAUCCCGUGUUUUGUAAAUCAAGAACUGUACCCUAUGCCUUAAAGGGUGCGGUAGAAAGUGAACUCCAGAAUUUAGUUAAGAAUGACAUAAUAUAUCCCGUAACUAAGUCAGUAUGGGCUACCCCGAUCGUUGUAGUACCAAAGCCGAAUGGCAAAAUUCGUAUUUGUGGGGACUACAAGACUACAAUCAACCCGCGUUUGCGCACGGACCAUUACCCGUUGCCAACACCGGAAGAGAUUUUCUCGAGUAUUUCGGGUUCUAAGGUUUUUACUAAACUGGACUUGUCUGCGGCAUAUAACCAAAUUUGUGUCAGUGAAAGUUCUCAGGAACUUCUAACAAUCAAUACCAGUAAAGGUCUCUAUAGAUAUAGAAGAUUACCGUUUGGAAUCACUAGCGCUGGCGCUAUCUUCCAAUCAACUAUGGACCAAGUAUUAGCAGGUCUAAACAAUGUUUUUUGUUAUUUAGAUGACAUUUUGAUUGUAGCUAGCAAUCAUUUGGAGAUGUACAAAUAUGUUGAUCAAGUACUAAAUAGACUUAUGCAAUACGGUGUUAAAAUUAAUGGCGCUAAGAGCGAAUUCUUCAAGAAUAGUUUGACAUUUCUUGGACAUAGGCUAGAUGCUAAUGGUAUCCAUCCAAGUGAAGAGUUAACGGAAACUAUCACCAAGACUCCUCAGCCCAAAAAUGUUACCCAGUUAAGAUCAUAUCUAGGCCUUUUGAAUUACUACGGUAAAUUUCUGCCAAAUCUGUCGACCUUGCUACACCCGUUAUAUCAGUUAAUAAAUAAGAGUGCCAGAUGGGAGUGGACGAAGAAGUGUGAGGAAGUGUUUAUCAAAAGCAAGAAUCUUUUGCUUGAGAGUACUGUACUUAUCCCCUUUGACCCUAAAUUAGAAAUCAUUGUGACGGCUGAUGCAAGUCCUUAUGGCGUAGGCGCCGUUGUUGCCCACCGCAUGCAGGAUGGCUCUGAGAGGCCAAUAGCAUUUGGUUCUCGAACCUUGACCCCAUGUGAAAUGAAAUAUUCACAACUGGAAAAAGAAGCGCUCGCCUUAGUCUUCGCUGUGAAGAAGUUUCAUGUAUUUUUGUACGGUAAACGUUUCCUUCUGGCUACCGAUCAUAAGCCUUUAGCGUUUCUGCUGGGGCCUAAUAGGGGAAUACCUACUUUAGCUGCGGCUAGGAUUCAAAGAUGGGCAAUUAUUCUUUCAGCCUACGAGUAUGAUAUAGAGUACCGUAAGGGUACCAAUGUUUCGAAUGCUGAUGCUCUGUCCCGUUUGCCUUGUACAGAUGAAUCUAAUUGCGGUGACAACAUCUCAUUCUUCUCUGUAACUUCUGAGUUACCCAUAACCCACAAGGAGAUCAGCAUAGCUACACGCUAUGACCCGAUUUUGUCCAAAGUUUUAGACUUCACUUUGAAUGGGUGGCCUAAUAAGGUGGCCGAAGAUAGCCUAAAACCAUAUUUUUCCCGAGCUAUGGAGCUGUCUGUAGAUCAAGAGUGUCUUCUAUGGGGACGAAGAGUCAUUAUCCCUGAACCAUAUCGGAAGGAAAUAUUAAAUCUUUUACAUACAGAACAUCCAGGUGUAUCCCGCAUUAAAAAUUUGGCACGCAGCUAUGUAUGGUGGCCAAAUUUAGACCGAGAUCUUGAAGAACUUGUUAAAACCUGCACUGUUUGUCAAUCUACUCGGAACUCAAUACCUCUGGCCCCAUUACAACAUUGGUCAUGGCCUAAGCAUCCCUGGCAGCGACUCCAUCUUGACUUUGCUACCUUUCAAAAUAAGGAGUUUUUGAUCAUUGUUGACAGCCACUCAAAAUGGCUCGAAGUAUUCCAUAUGAGUUCAACAACAUCUAGUAAAACAAUUGAGAAACUCAGGUCAUGUUUUGCGGCAUACGGACUGCCUUCAACAGUUGUUACUGACGGUGGACCUCAACUUACUUCUAAGGAGUUUAACGACUUUUUAAGAACAAAUGGAAUCACUCAUGUUGUAUCCCCACCAUACCAUCCUUCCUCUAAUGGAUUGGCGGAGCGAGCUGUGCAAACAACCAAGAACACAUUCUUGAGACAGCUGUUGCAGGACGAAAAAUCAGGAACAACUCGUUCUCUACAACAUCGAAUCGACAACUUCCUUUUUGUGUAUAGGAAUACUCCUCAUUCCACCACUGGUGUUUCGCCAGCUGAAAUUGUGCUUGGGUUUAAACCUAAAAAUCACCUUGACUUGCUAAAGCCUCAUUUGAGUAAGAGCGUAUCUGCUAAAUAUGAAAAGAUUGAGAAAAAUGCAAAUGAAAGGAGGGGAACAUUCCGUUCUUUUUGUGAGGGCGAGAGUGUAUUUGUAAGGAGCGUUAGGCAAGAAAAACUCAAAUGGUUGCCUGGUAUUAUCACUAAGGUUAAUAGCCCAGUCACAUACGUUGUCAAAGUCGAUGGGAGGAAUCGUUUUGUGCAUGCAGACCACCUACGCACAAAUCAGUGCAUUCCAGAUGAGGAAAAUCUUGUACUACCAAUGCCACCUGUUUUACCUAUGGAAGCAACUGCACCUAGCCCAAUGAAAACACCUACACCAAGCCCAGCGAAGACACCGCAUAGGCCUAUUACACCCAACAUUAAAUCAAAGGAAAAUCAAUCUCAAGAACUUGAAGCAGAUAGGCCUAACCCGGAAAUAAGAAAGCCUAAUUCUCCGUCUGUGACACUACGCCGUUCUCAGCGAGAACGACGCGUACCCAGGAAGUUGGACUUGUAAAAACAAGAAAAGUACCUCCCAAAAGAAGUCAUUAAUUUUUGAGUUUAUUUACAUAACGAACAGUUUGAAGUUUAUUUUUUUUAACUUAUUUUGUUGGGAGGAGUUAUUAUAGCCUAAGUAAAGACAGUAAUGUGUUUUAUAUAUAAAGUAAAUUCUUAUGUCAGAAGAGACAUGUUUUGUUAUAUUGGCACGCCGGAGGAGGCGCAUAAACAAUAGCAUAUUCAAAAGGGGCAAGGACAAAGUCCAAGAUUCAAUACCCCUCCAUGGGACGACAAGACGGAGGAGUCAGUCUACUACGAGUCGCAGGUGGCUAUGUUACGAUCUGUUGGAGGGAACAGUAUUCUAAACACAACGGCCAGAGUCCUUAAAAGGAUAAUGACGAAUGAUGUUGCAGAACGUUACAGCCUGUUAGGGAGAAAGAAAAGUUCGUUCAAGCAACUUGCUCUCUGCAAAGCAGUUCUCAACUUAGUAAAACUCCAACUUAAAGAGGCUACGGUAAAAGAAGUGGACCAAGUGAUAGCACGAUGGCUUGUCCAGGCUAAAACAAGAAGGUUGAGAAAUUCUAGCAAGGCUCUGGCGGGUGAAAAUGUUGUAGCAGAUGAAAAUGUUGUUGUGGCAGAUGAAAAUGUUGUUGUGACGGGUUAAAAAAACAAUAAAC
This is an RNA transcript of Macrosteles quadrilineatus (aster leafhopper), 4000 nucleotides long. RefSeq lists it as uncharacterized. Lineage: Eukaryota; Metazoa; Arthropoda; Insecta; Hemiptera; Cicadellidae. The transcript is spliced from 4 exons. The record is from RefSeq and is a predicted model, not a curated record.